Molecule: ribosomal RNA, 305 nt
Filed under: uncultured bacterium
Lineage: Bacteria
Description: bacterial SSU rRNA
Rfam family: Bacterial small subunit ribosomal RNA
Source: RNAcentral
UUGCCCUACGGGACGCAGCAGUGAGGAAUAUUGGUCAAUGGGCUUACGCCUGAACCAGCCAAGUCGCGUGAGGGAAGACUGCCCUAUGGGUUGUAAACCUCUUUUGUCAGGGAGCAACGCCGGCUACGUGUAGCCGGACUGAGAGUACCUGAAGAAAAAGCAUCGGCUAACUCCGUGCCAGCAGCCGCGGUAAUACGGAGGAUGCGAGCGUUAUCCGGAUUUAUUGGGUUUAAAGGGUGCGUAGGCGGAUUUUUAAGUCAGCGGUAAAAUGUCCGGGCUCAACCCGGGCCGGCCGUUGAAACUGG